RNAcentral lists this ribosomal RNA (253 nucleotides) under uncultured bacterium. RNAcentral's name for it is "partial 16S ribosomal RNA". It matches the Rfam family "Bacterial small subunit ribosomal RNA", at positions 524 to 776 of the family's 1533-position model. The record is from RNAcentral.
UACAGGGGGUGCAAACGUUGCUCGGAAUUAUUGGGCGUAAAGCGCGCGUAGGCGGUGACUCAAGUCGGAUGUGAAAGCCCUUGGCUUAACCGAGGAAGUGCAUCCGAAACUGAGUCGCUAGAGUACGAUAGAGGGUCGCGGAAUUCCCGGUGUAGAGGUGAAAUUCGUAGAUAUCGGGAGGAACACCGGUGGCGAAGGCGGCGACCUGGGUCGAUACUGACGCUGAGGCGCGAAAGCUAGGGGAGCAAACGGG